Molecule: ribosomal RNA, 443 nt
Filed under: Halichoeres tenuispinis (Chinese wrasse)
Lineage: Eukaryota; Metazoa; Chordata; Actinopteri; Labriformes; Labridae
Description: partial 12S rRNA
Rfam family: Bacterial small subunit ribosomal RNA
Source: RNAcentral
UUAAAACCCAAAGGACUUGGCGGUGCUUUAGAUCCACCUAGAGGAGCCUGUUCUAGAACCGAUAAUCCCCGUUAAACCUCACCUUUCCUUGUCUUUUUCCGCCUAUAUACCGCCGUCGUCAGCUUACUCUGUGAAGAACCUGCAGUAGGCGCAAUCGGUACAGCCCAAAACGCCAGGUCGAGGUGUAGCGAAUGGAAAGGGAAGAAAUGGGCUACAUUCAAUAUUUUAUUGAACACGGACGACACCCUGAAAAAAGUGUCUGAAGGAGGAUUUAGCAGUAAGCAGAGAAUAGAGAGCCCUGCUGAAACUGGCCCUGAAGCGCGCACACACCGCCCGUCACUCUCCCCGAGCUAAUAAACUCUUUUUAACUAAAAAAUAAAACCUGUAAAGGGGAGGCAAGUCGUAACAUGGUAAGUGUACCGGAAGUUGCACUUGGAUAAACU